Columba livia (rock pigeon) is the source of this 950-nucleotide RNA transcript. It is a transcript of the gene named POP5 homolog, ribonuclease P/MRP subunit, with no coding region annotated. The record is from RefSeq and is a predicted model, not a curated record. Lineage: Eukaryota; Metazoa; Chordata; Aves; Columbiformes; Columbidae. The transcript has 5 exons.
GACAAGGCGAGACUGCGCUGGCUCUGGCGGCCGGGAAGUCCGUCCUCUGCCCCCGCCUCUGCGCGACGGCGAUUGGCUGCGGUGCGGGGAGGCGCCUCGCCCAUUGGCUAGGAGCGGCGUCCGUCCGGACGGGGCGCCGCCGCCGCCAUGGUUCGCUUCAAGAACAGGUACGUGCUGUGCGAGGUGGUGUCGGAGGACCCGCGGUGCCGGCAGUGCAUCGAGGACCGCGCCGUGGGCCUCGCCGUCAGGGACGCCAUCGGGCGGGUGCACGGGGACUACGGCCUGGCCUGCUGCUCCAUCUCCUUCACAGUGAAGUACCUGAACGCCUACACCGGGACCGUGCUGCUGCGCUGCCGCAAGGACUCGUACCGGCUGCUCUGCUCGGCGCUGCCCUUCGUGCGGCAGCUGGAGAGCCGGGGCCAGCGCUACCCCUGCUGCCUGCGCACCCUGCACGUCGGAGGUCAGUCCCAGCGCCUCGGCUGCCCGAGGGGGAGGCCUCGGAGCUUAACCGAACCUUCCCGGCCCGCUGGAGGAAAAACCCCCUCUUACUGCUGCGUUGUGACACACCCGCCUUCUGUGUCACUGACUUAGUGGAUCCAAGUACCAUAAGAACAUGUCAGAAAUUUCUAAUUCAGUAUAACAGAAGACAGCUACUGGUGUUGUUGCAAAACUGUACGAAUGAAGAGGAAAGGCAGUGUAUACAGAAGUCAUUGUUGAGUUGUUCCCUCACAGAAGGGCAGUCUCGAAGUGGAGAUGAAGAUGAUGAUGAUGGCACAGAGACCGACUGAACGUUACAUUUUACUGCUCGCCUCUGUCCUGUACUUGUGUAAUCAAGGUGUUACCAGUUACCUUCAGUGUUAAGCAAAGCAGGGGACAAAAAAAAGCAUCUGUUCAUAUUUACACUUCAUCCCCCCCAUUCUAAAUGUUCUUAAAUAAAUUUUUAAAAAGUA